GCCGGAAUAGCUCAGUUGGUAGAGCAACUGAUUCGUAAUCAGUAGGUCCGCGGUUCGAGUCCGCGUUCCGGCACCA
RNAcentral lists this transfer RNA (76 nucleotides) under Gammaproteobacteria bacterium. Its description in RNAcentral is "tRNA-Thr". It matches the Rfam family "tRNA". From Rfam's summary of the family: Transfer RNA (tRNA) molecules are approximately 80 nucleotides in length. Their secondary structure includes four short double-helical elements and three loops (D, anti-codon, and T loops). Lineage: Bacteria; Pseudomonadati; Pseudomonadota; Gammaproteobacteria. RNAcentral also lists the same sequence under 1 other name. The record is from RNAcentral.